GACGAACGCUGGCGGCGUGCCUAAUACAUGCAAGUAGAACGCACAGUUUAUACCGUAGCUUGCUACACCAUAGACUGUGAGUUGCGAACGGGUGAGUAACGCGUAGGUAACCUGCCUGGUAGCGGGGGAUAACUAUUGGAAACGAUAGCUAAUACCGCAUAAUAUUAAUUAUUCCAUGAUAAUUAAUUGAAAGGUGCAAUUGCACCACUACCAGAUGGACCUGCGUUGUAUUAGCUAGUAGGUGAGGUAACGGCUCACCUAGGCGACGAUACAUAGCCGACCUGAGAGGGUGAUCGGCCACACUGGGACUGAGACACGGCCCAGACUCCUACGGGAGGCAGCAGUAGGGAAUCUUCGGCAAUGGACGAAAGUCUGACCGAGCAACGCCGCGUGAGUGAAGAAGGUUUUCGGAUCGUAAAGCUCUGUUGUAAGAGAAGAACGGGUGUGAGAGUGGAAAGUUCACACUGUGACGGUAUCUUACCAGAAAGGGACGGCUAACUACGUG
RNAcentral lists this ribosomal RNA (505 nucleotides) under uncultured bacterium. RNAcentral describes it as "partial 16S ribosomal RNA". It matches the Rfam family "Bacterial small subunit ribosomal RNA", at positions 28 to 507 of the family's 1533-position model. The record is from RNAcentral.